UACGGAGGAUCCGAGCGUUAUCCGGAUUUAUUGGGUUUAAAGGGUGCGCAGGCGGGGGAUUAAGUCGGCGGUGAAAUUUUGCAGCUUAACUGUAACAGUGCCGUUGAUACUGGGGAGCUAGGAUUUGGUUGCUGUGGGUGGAAUGUGUGGUGUAGCGGUGAAAUGCUUAGAGAUCACACAGAAUAUCGAUUGCGAAGGCAGCUCACAAAGCCAAGAUUGACGCUGAGGCACGAAAGUGUGGGGAUCAAACAGGAUUAGA
Molecule: ribosomal RNA, 259 nt
Filed under: uncultured prokaryote
Description: partial 16S ribosomal RNA
Rfam family: Bacterial small subunit ribosomal RNA
Source: RNAcentral